RNAcentral lists this ribosomal RNA (508 nucleotides) under uncultured bacterium. Its description in RNAcentral is "partial 16S ribosomal RNA". It matches the Rfam family "Bacterial small subunit ribosomal RNA", at positions 28 to 507 of the family's 1533-position model. The record is from RNAcentral.
GACGAACGCUGGCGGCGUGCCUAAUACAUGCAAGUCGAACGCUUCUUUCCUCCCGAGUGCUUGCACUCAAUUGGAAAGAGGAGUGGCGGACUGGUGAGUAACACGUGGGUAACCUACCCAUCAGAGGGGGAUAACACUUGGAAACAGGUGCUAAUACCGCAUAACAGUUUAUGCCGCAUGGCAUAAGAGUGAAAGGCGCUUUCGGGUGUCGCUGAUGGAUGGACCCGCGGUGCAUUAGCUAGUUGGUGAGGUAACGGCUCACCAAGGCCACGAUGCAUAGCCGACCUGAGAGGGUGAUCGGCCACACUGGGACUGAGACACGGCCCAGACUCCUACGGGAGGCAGCAGUAGGGAAUCUUCGGCAAUGGACGAAAGUCUGACCGAGCAACGCCGCGUGAGUGAAGAAGGUUUUCGGAUCGUAAAACUCUGUUGUUAGAGAAGAACAAGGACGUUAGUAACUGAACGUCCCCUGACGGUAUCUAACCAGAAAGCCACGGCUAACUACGUG